CCUAGUUCCACAGGGUAGUCCUUUCUCUGUACGAAUGCAAAUUUUUUCCCCAUUAUAUAUUUAUACAAUUGCCUUCAGAAGGCAAUGCAUUUCCGAUUUCUACUUUGUAUCACUAUUAUUUCCAUAAGACAUAGGAGCAGAAUUAGGACAUUCAGCCCAUCAAGUCUGCUCUGCCAUUCAACCAUGGUGGUUUUAUUAUACCUCUCAACUCCAUUCUCCUGACUUCUCCCCGUAACCUUUGCCGUCCUUACUAAACAAGAACCUAUCAAUUUCCACUUUAAAUAUACCCAAUGAUUUUGCCUCCAUAGCCAUCUGUGGCAAUGAGUUCCACAGAUUCACCAUUCUUCUUCUCAAGAAAUUCCUCCUCAUCUCUGUUCUAAAGAAACAUCCUUGGGCAGAAGUUCCCACUUGUUUCAAAAAGGUAACAAAUAUACCAGUGCCUAAGAAGAAUAAUGUGAAUUGCCUUAAUGAUUAUCGCCCGGUAGCACUCACAUCUACAGUGAUGAAAUGCUUUCAGAGGGUGGUCAUGACUAGACUGAACUCCCGCCUCAGCAAGGACCUGGACCAAUUGCAAUUUGCCUAUCGCCACAAUAGGUCAACGGCAGAUGCAAUCUCAAUGGCUCUUCACAUGGUUUCAGACUACCUGGACUACACAAACGCCUAUGUCAGGAUGCUGUUCAUCGACUAAAGCUCAGCAUUUAAUACCAUCAUUCCCACAAUCCUCAUUGAGAAGUUACAGUACCUGCGCCUCUGCACCUCCUCUGCAAUUGGAUCCUCGACUCCCUAACCAGAAAACCACAAUCUGUGCGGAUUGGUGAUAACAAAUCAUCCUCGGUGACGAUCAACACUGGUGCACCUCAGGGGUGUGUGCUUAGCCCGCUGCUCUACUGUCUCAAUAUCCUUGACUAUGUGGUUAUGCCUAACUCAAAUACCAUCUUUAAAUUUGCUGAUGAUACAACUAUUGUUGAUAGAAUCUCAGAUGGAGACAGUGGGCAUGCAGGAGCGAGAUAUGCCAGCUAGUGGAGUGAUGCCACAGCAACAACCUGGCAAUCAACGUCAGUAAGACAAAGAGCUGAUUGUUGUCAAAGGAACAUAUACCAAUCUUCAUAGAGGGAUCAGAAGAGGAGAGAGUGAGCAGCUUCAAGUUCUUGGGUGUCAAGAUCACUGAGGAUCUAACCUGGUCCCAACAUAUCAAUGCAGUUAUAAAGAAGGUCAAUCAUAUUUGAAAAAUUGCUGAUGUCCUUUGAGGAUGUAAGAAGCAGAACCUGUAAAUGGAUUGCCUUCAGAUUUUCCAAAGACACUGGAAAAGAUGCUACACGAACGCCUUGGGGUGUUGGGCCAUUAAUUAACACCAAGGGAGUGUAACAUCACAACAUGGAGUCUUUAUGAAGCUUUAUGUGAAGAAUUCACCCCAUGCAGAUGGAUAAAAAUGCCUUAUACAAUAAAUGUCUUUAAUAAAAGCUUUGAC
Hypanus sabinus (Atlantic stingray) is the source of this 1468-nucleotide long non-coding RNA. RefSeq lists it as uncharacterized. Lineage: Eukaryota; Metazoa; Chordata; Chondrichthyes; Myliobatiformes; Dasyatidae. The record is from RefSeq and is a predicted model, not a curated record. The transcript is spliced from 3 exons.